Molecule: long non-coding RNA, 764 nt
Organism: Ananas comosus (pineapple)
Lineage: Eukaryota; Viridiplantae; Streptophyta; Magnoliopsida; Poales; Bromeliaceae
Exons: 3
Source: RefSeq, a predicted model, not a curated record
AUUAUUCGUUGCGGAUUUGUUCUAACAAACCCACGCCCUCUCUCCCUCCACUCCGAUGUAAACCCACGCCCCAGCUUCAUCAACCCGGAGCUCGAUCCCCUUCAUCGCACGCCUCUGCUCAUCAACUCAGCGCUCGUUCCCCUUCAUCGCACGCCCCAGCUUCAUCAACCCGGCGCUCGAUCGAGGCGAAAAACCUCGAUCAAUUUCCUCUUCAUCUCCCUCGCCCUCUCUUCGAUCUGUUGCUGCGAUCAAAUUUCGAAAAUCUGAGCGAUUUUGAAGUGAUUGAGCCGAUCGAGUUAAACUGUGAUUUUCCUAUUUGAUCGCGUGGAUUUGAUCGCACUGCUCCACAGCUUCCUUAGUUAACUUCUCUGUCACGGGUGGUCCUCUUCACAAAUCCAAGCUCAAUCCCAAACCGCGGCACAGCGCUCCUCUUCCUCUGCUGCUUCUUGUGCUUGUUUUCGGCAAAAUUAAGCUCCAAUUCAGACGACGGAUCUAGAGAGAUCGCCAUCGAUAUUGGAUGAAUAUUGUCUGACAUAUACUAUUUUGGUGGGACAGUGCAUUGUUGAGCUCUCCUCAUAUUACUCUUUUCAUCACAUUUUGUCUGCGGCUACAUAUACAUUACCGGAGGACAUUCGUUUAAACUGAAAACACUAUAGACGCUAUACGAUUAAUAAUUCAUUGUGAAUAAAAAAGUGAUGAAAUUUUUGUUUGUUCCUAUUAUUCCCUGCUUAUACAAUAGUAGAGAAUUUUUGAUUUUUUGAUUG